UGGCUCUUCUUCUAACGGAAUAGGAAAGUGCGCUCUGACCGCAUUAAUGAAAGUUCGAGUCUUUCAGAGCCAG
This 73-nucleotide transfer RNA is filed under the name Siphoviridae sp. ctnPP24. RNAcentral describes it as "tRNA-Gln". It matches the Rfam family "tRNA". Rfam says of the family: Transfer RNA (tRNA) molecules are approximately 80 nucleotides in length. Their secondary structure includes four short double-helical elements and three loops (D, anti-codon, and T loops). RNAcentral also lists the same sequence under 1 other name. The record is from RNAcentral. Lineage: Duplodnaviria; Heunggongvirae; Uroviricota; Caudoviricetes.